AUACGUAGGUGGCGAGCGUUGUCCGGAAUUACUGGGCGUAAAGGGCGUGUAGGCGGCCUUUUAAGUCAGAUGUGAAAUCUCAGGGCUUAACCCUGAAACUGCAUUUGAAACUGGAGGGCUUGAGGAUCGGAGAGGGCAGUGGAAUUCCCAGUGUAGCGGUGAUAUGCGUAGAUAUUGGGAAGAACACCAGUGGCGAAGGCGACUGCCUGGACGACACCUGACGCUGAGGCGCGAAAGCUAGGGUAGCGAACGGGAUUAGAUACCCCGGUAGUCCUAGCCGUAAACGAUGGGUACUAGGUGUGGGAGGUAUCGACCCCUUCCGUGCCGCAGUUAACACAAUAAGUACCCCGCCUGGGGAGUACGGCCGCAAGGUUGAA
RNAcentral lists this ribosomal RNA (377 nucleotides) under uncultured bacterium. RNAcentral describes it as "bacterial SSU rRNA". It matches the Rfam family "Bacterial small subunit ribosomal RNA", at positions 523 to 898 of the family's 1533-position model. The record is from RNAcentral.